CAGCUGCACAGGGAGCAGCAGCCCCAGCCCCCGGCUUUUGACCCACGAGGUAGGAAAAGAGUUGUAGCCUUGUUUUUCCCAAACGUACUUAAAAGUGACCGUUUGAAGUAUUUUUCCACAAGGCUCUGUCAUUCUCAGCCAGCAAUUGUCAAGCCUAUUAGGAAGGGGAACCUAGAAGGCCAAAAAAUUCUCUGCCUUUUUUUUCCUGCUUGCUGCCUGUGAUGUUUGAUCGAAGGCAGCAAUAGAGCUCUGUAUCCCAGAGCCACAUUAUGGAGCCUGACCAGUGGGUUUGGAUUCUUGCAGCCACCCCAGGCACUUCAGCAUCCAGUGCUCCACCUGGCACUGCUGGUGCAGCAUUAACAGCCUCCAGCCAAGCCCGUAACACACCUGAGGAAGAGCAGUCACCAGCAGUGGAUCUUGCCUUUGCUGUGGAGCAAAUGAUCCGGGAGAUCAGGAGAUCCCUAUCUGAAAGGUCUCCCUCUGCCCAGGGCAAUAUUAAUGCUGUGCCUGAGUCUUCAGGAGGUGAGCCUGUGGACAGAGCUGCAGCAGAGGAAGCCUCAUCUGGCAUGGAGAGCUGCAGGAACAGUUCCCCAGAGCCCGAGGAGCCUGAUCACAUGUGACCGACCUCUCCAGGAGGGCUAGCCUGUGUGGCAGGAAGAGACAGAGGGAGAGCCUGGAACAUCGGGCAAGUUGACUUCCUCUGUCUCUAGUUAUAUUUAUAGAUGUAUAUAGUUAUGUUUAUUUAUCUAGGUAGUUGUAUUUAUAGAUUUAUGUGAUUAUAUUUAUCUAUAUAGAUAGAGAUCUGUACAGUUAAUUUAUUUUUGGUUUUACUGGUAUAUCGUUAUAGCUUUAGAUAUGUUGUUGUAGUUAUAGAUGUGCACAGUUGCACUUAUACCUGUGUAUAGUUACAUUUACAUAUAUACAUUUGUAAAUGCCUAUUUAUAUUUGUAUAUGGGGGUUUAGCUACGUAGAUUGAUAUUUAUAUACACCUUUUUUUAACCUCUUGCCCUGUUCUGCUUCCUCGCUCACCUCUGGCUUUUCCCCCUGUGCCCCCUGUGUCCCCUCUCCCUGGGCUGGGUCCGAGCUGGCGGCCGGGCCGGGCGCAGCAGCAGUUCCAGCCCCGGGUGUCCCUGGAGCGCUGGGAGCUGCCGGUGGCCCCAGGCACUGUCCCCUGAGGAGCUGCUGAAGGACGCUGUAAUGACCACAAGGACAGCUGGAGACUGCCAGGAGCCAGCAGGGAGAAGCCGAGGGCCAGCAGCAGGAGCAGUGAGCGGGGCCCUGCUGCUGCCAGCCUGGAGAGAGCCCGGAUUUGCCAUCUGCUGUCCCUGUCCAGGAGAUCUGCCAAACUUCAUCUGCAGGCUCAGAAGAACCGGUGUCCUUUGGCCACCCUCAGUUCCCUCUGAAGAUGGGAUCACCUGCAGAGCAGAGGGGACCAGCUGCAGCUCCAGGCCCAGCUCUUGCCGGUCACAGCUGAGCCUGUGGCAAGCUCCAGGAGCUGCUGCCAUCUCCCUCCCUGUUGGUAGCUCACUCCCUCCAGUCCCCAGGCCCUGCCCAUCCACCUUUUUCCCUCCCAGCUCACCCCUUCGCUUUGCCUUCCCUUAUUAAACAGUUUGGCUUUUUCA
This is a long non-coding RNA of Passer domesticus (house sparrow), 1622 nucleotides long. RefSeq lists it as uncharacterized. Lineage: Eukaryota; Metazoa; Chordata; Aves; Passeriformes; Passeridae. The record is from RefSeq and is a predicted model, not a curated record. The transcript is spliced from 5 exons.